Molecule: long non-coding RNA, 460 nt
Filed under: Daphnia pulex (common water flea)
Lineage: Eukaryota; Metazoa; Arthropoda; Branchiopoda; Diplostraca; Daphniidae
Description: uncharacterized LOC124197152, transcript variant X1
Source: RNAcentral
UUAGUUGAUUCGUGGCUUCUGAGAGAAAGGGAACCCAGUUAGCUGCAUUGCUCGAGUACGAGUAUGACAUAAUCCAGGUGAAGUCUGGGUUUCUUUGUUGCAGUACGUGGAUUUGUUGCAGUCAUCCAGUGAAAGGUGUGAAUAAAUUGAGCUGUUGCAUGCAGUCUUUGGUUCCGAUGUUGUCCUGGAGUGUGGGAGAGUUCCAUGCUUCAAGUCUUAUUGGAUAAGCCAUAUCUGAGUUGACAGUGGAUCAUGCUGUGUUGUGGUUGCCGAAAUGUUGGACAUCUAGUAGAACUGCAAGAAGCCUUCUUGAAAUGGUUAGUGAUGUUGCUUUCCAAUAUGGCAUGUUGUUGCAGCCUACACUGGUGAAAGAAUUUUUGCAUCGAGUUAUACUGUUGCUGUUCCUUGGUGCCGGACUGCUGGUGUUGUGCACAAAAGUUACAUCCAGUUUUAAUUGUUA